UGGGAAUAUUGCACAAUGGGCGAAAGCCUGAUGCAGCGACGCCGCGUGAGGGAUGACGGCCUUCGGGUUGUAAACCUCUUUCAGCAGGGACGAAGCGCAAGUGACGGUACCUGCAGAAGAAGCACCGGCUAACUACGUGCCAGCAGCCGCGGUAAUACGUAGGGUGCAAGCGUUGUCCGGAAUUACUGGGCGUAAAGAGUGCGUAGGCGGUUUGUCGCGUCGUUUGUGAAAACCAGCAGCUCAACUGCUGGCUUGCAGGCGAUACGGGCAGACUUGAGUACUGCAGGGGAGACUGGAAUUCCUGGUGUAGCGGUGAAAUGCGCAGAUAUCAGGAGGAACACCGGUGGCGAAGGCGGGUCUCUGGGCAGUAAAUGACGCUGAGGAACGAAAGCGUGGGUAGCGAACAGG
This 408-nucleotide ribosomal RNA is filed under the name bacterium. RNAcentral's name for it is "partial 16S ribosomal RNA". It matches the Rfam family "Bacterial small subunit ribosomal RNA", at positions 356 to 776 of the family's 1533-position model. The record is from RNAcentral.